UUAACUCAAAUUUGUAUAGAGUUGGAACGUUUGCCUACGUUUGCUGCUAGGAGCGCUGGUCAAACUGCAUACAGAUUUUAGUUA
RNAcentral lists this microRNA precursor (84 nucleotides) under Bombyx mori (domestic silkworm). Its description in RNAcentral is "mir-2807 microRNA precursor family". It matches the Rfam family "mir-2807 microRNA precursor family". The record is from Rfam by way of RNAcentral. Lineage: Eukaryota; Metazoa; Arthropoda; Insecta; Lepidoptera; Bombycidae.